GCCAGACUCCUACGGGAGGCAGCAGUGGGGAAUAUUGCACAAUGGGGGAAACCCUGAUGCAGCGACGCCGCGUGAGUGAAGAAGUAUUUCGGUAUGUAAAGCUCUAUCAGCAGGGAAGAAGAAAGACGGUACCUGACUAAGAAGCCCCGGCUAACUACGUGCCAGCAGCCGCGGUAAUACGUAGGGGGCAAGCGUUAUCCGGAUUUACUGGGUGUAAAGGGAGCGUAGGCGGUUAGAUAAGUCUGAUGUGAAAGCCCACAGCUUAACUGUGGGAUUGCAUUGGAAACUAUAGAACUAGAGUGUCGGAGAGGUAAGUGGAAUUCCUAGUGUAGCGGUGAAAUGCGUAGAUAUUAGGAGGAACACCAGUGGCGAAGGCGGCUUACUGGACGAUGACUGACGCUGAGGCUCGAAAGCGUGGGGAGCAAACAGGAUUAGAUACCCCUGUAA
RNAcentral lists this ribosomal RNA (447 nucleotides) under uncultured bacterium. RNAcentral's name for it is "partial 16S ribosomal RNA". It matches the Rfam family "Bacterial small subunit ribosomal RNA", at positions 330 to 793 of the family's 1533-position model. The record is from RNAcentral.